AAACCUGAGAAACUCAAAAAAUCGAAUGGGGAGAAUCAUCGUCAGCGAAUCCCGGCUGAUCAGCUGCCCGGCGGUACUCGCACGGUAUAGAGCCGCAAUCAUUAAGUUGCGUCUGGGCUGCCGCAAGCUUGGCCAGUGAUUAUCUACGGAUGUACGGACCCGGCGCCGUCUGGCUGGCUGGCUGUUGGUCGGCGGUGUACUGGGACCGGCUUGAAUUACCGGUCGGCGACGCUACUGCUUUGGGUACUUUCAGGACUCGUCUUGAAACACGGACCAAGGAAUCUAAAAUGUGCGCGAGUCAUUCGGAUCUCGAAGCCUAAAGGCGCAAUGAAUGUGAAGGUCGGCCUGGCGCCGACCGCGGGAGGAUGGUCCGCGUUACGAUGCGGUCCCGCACUCCCGGGGCGUCUCGUUCUCAU
Molecule: ribosomal RNA, 416 nt
Filed under: Therion circumflexum
Lineage: Eukaryota; Metazoa; Arthropoda; Insecta; Hymenoptera; Ichneumonidae
Description: eukaryotic LSU rRNA
Rfam family: Eukaryotic large subunit ribosomal RNA
Source: RNAcentral